CUUGACCACGAGCUCGAGUAUAGU
Molecule: non-coding RNA, 24 nt
Filed under: Arabidopsis thaliana (thale cress)
Lineage: Eukaryota; Viridiplantae; Streptophyta; Magnoliopsida; Brassicales; Brassicaceae
Source: RNAcentral